UAACGCGAAGAACCUUACCUGGGCUUGACAUGUUCCUGACCGCCCUGGAAACAGGGUUUCCCUUCGGGGCAGGAUCACAGGUGGUGCAUGGCUGUCGUCAGCUCGUGUCGUGAGAUGUUGGGUUAAGUCCCGCAACGAGCGCAACCCCCGUCGCAUGUUGCCAGCAUUAAGUUGGGGACUCAUGCGAGACUGCCGGUGACAAACCGGAGGAAGGUGGGGAUGACGUCAAGUCAUCAUGCCCCUUAUGUCCAGGGCUACACACGUGCUACAUUGGCGCGUACAGAGGGCUGCGAUACCGCGAGGUGGAGCGAAUCCCUUAAAGCGCGUCUCGGUUCGGAUUGCAGGCUGAAACCCGCCUGCAUGAAGGCGGAGUUGCUAGUAAUCGCGGAUCAGCACUGCCGCGGUGAAUACGUUCCCGGGUCUUGUACACACCGA
RNAcentral lists this ribosomal RNA (435 nucleotides) under uncultured bacterium. RNAcentral describes it as "bacterial SSU rRNA". It matches the Rfam family "Bacterial small subunit ribosomal RNA", at positions 957 to 1393 of the family's 1533-position model. The record is from RNAcentral.